This 253-nucleotide ribosomal RNA is filed under the name uncultured bacterium. RNAcentral describes it as "partial 16S ribosomal RNA". It matches the Rfam family "Bacterial small subunit ribosomal RNA", at positions 524 to 776 of the family's 1533-position model. The record is from RNAcentral.
UACAGAGGGUGCGAGCGUUAAUCGGAAUUACUGGGCGUAAAGCGUGUGCAGGCGGGCUAGCAAGUGGUGCAUGAAAGCUCCCGGCUCAACCGGGAAGGGUUAUGCCAGACUGCUAGUCUUGAGUGCGAGAGAGGAGCGUGGAAUUCCGGGUGUAGUGGUGAAAUGCGUAGAGAUCCGGAGGAACCCCAGAGGCGAAGGCGGCGCUCUGGCUCGCAACUGACGCUCAGACACGACAGCAUGGGGAGCGAACGGG